This 497-nucleotide ribosomal RNA is filed under the name uncultured bacterium. Its description in RNAcentral is "partial 16S ribosomal RNA". It matches the Rfam family "Bacterial small subunit ribosomal RNA", at positions 28 to 507 of the family's 1533-position model. The record is from RNAcentral.
GAUGAACGCUGGCGGCGUGCCUAAUACAUGCAAGUCGAGCGAACAGACGAGGAGCUUGCUCCUCUGACGUUAGCGGCGGACGGGUGAGUAACACGUGGAUAACCUACCUAUAAGACUGGGAUAACUUCGGGAAACCGGAGCUAAUACCGGAUAAUAUAUUGAACCGCAUGGUUCAAUAGUGAAAGACGGUUUUGCUGUCACUUAUAGAUGGAUCCGCGCCGCAUUAGCUAGUUGGUAAGGUAACGGCUUACCAAGGCAACGAUGCGUAGCCGACCUGAGAGGGUGAUCGGCCACACUGGAACUGAGACACGGUCCAGACUCCUACGGGAGGCAGCAGUAGGGAAUCUUCCGCAAUGGGCGAAAGCCUGACGGAGCAACGCCGCGCGAGUGAUGAAGGUCUUCGGAUCGUAAAACUCUGUUAUUAGGGAAGAACAAAUGUGUAGGUAACUAUGCACGUCUUGACGGUACCUAAUCAGAAAGCCACGGCUAACUACGUG